RNAcentral lists this ribosomal RNA (475 nucleotides) under uncultured bacterium. RNAcentral's name for it is "bacterial SSU rRNA". It matches the Rfam family "Bacterial small subunit ribosomal RNA", at positions 33 to 507 of the family's 1533-position model. The record is from RNAcentral.
ACGCUGGCGGCGUGCUUAACACAUGCAAGUCGAACGGAGCACCCUUGAUUGAGGUUUCGGCCAAAUGAUAGGAAUGCUUAGUGGCGGACUGGUGAGUAACGCGUGAGGAACCUGCCUUUCAGAGGGGGGACAACAGUUGGAAACGACUGCUAAUACCGCAUGACGCAUUUUGAUCGCAUGGUCGAAAUGCCAAAGAUUUAUCGCUGAAAGAUGGACCCGCGUCUGAUUAGCUAGUUGGCAGGGUAACGGCCUACCAAGGCGACGAUCAGUAGCCGACCUGAGAGGGUGACCGGCCACAUUGGGACUGAGACACGGCCCAGACUCCUACGGGAGGCAGCAGUGGGGAAUAUUGCACAAUGGAGGAAACUCUGAUGCAGCGACGCCGCGUGAGUGAAGAAGUAUUUCGGUAUGUAAAGCUCUAUCAGCAGGGAAGAUAAUGACGGUACCUGACUAAGAAGCACCGGCUAAAUACGUG